Molecule: ribosomal RNA, 253 nt
Filed under: uncultured bacterium
Lineage: Bacteria
Description: partial 16S ribosomal RNA
Rfam family: Bacterial small subunit ribosomal RNA
Source: RNAcentral
GACAGAGGGUGCAAACGUUGUUCGGAAUUACUGGGCGUAAAGCGCGUGUAGGCGGUUUGGUAAGUCGGAUGUGAAAGCCCCGGGCUCAACCCGGGAAGUGCACUCGAUACUGCCAAGCUAGAGUAUCGGAGAGGUUGGUGGAAUUCUCGGUGUAGAGGUGAAAUUCGUAGAUAUCGAGAGGAACACCGGUGGCGAAGGCGGCCAACUGGACGAAUACUGACGCUGAGACUCGAAAGCGUGGGGAGCAAACAGG